This 448-nucleotide ribosomal RNA is filed under the name uncultured organism. RNAcentral describes it as "partial 16S ribosomal RNA". It matches the Rfam family "Bacterial small subunit ribosomal RNA", at positions 333 to 797 of the family's 1533-position model. The record is from RNAcentral.
ACACUCCUACGGGAGGCAGCAGUGGGGAAUAUUGGACAAUGGGCGCAAGCCUGAUCCAGCCAUGCCGCGUGAGUGAUGAAGGCCCUAGGGUUGUAAAGCUCUUUCACCGGUGAAGAUAAUGACGGUAACCGGAGAAGAAGCCCCGGCUAACUUCGUGCCAGCAGCCGCGGUAAUACGAAGGGGGCUAGCGUUGUUCGGAUUUACUGGGCGUAAAGCGCACGUAGGCGGACUAUUAAGUCAGGGGUGAAAUCCCGGGGCUCAACCCCGGAACUGCCUUUGAUACUGGUAGUCUUGAGUUCGAGAGAGGUGAGUGGGAUUCCGAGUGUAGAGGUGAAAUUCGUAGAUAUUCGGAGGAACACCAGUGGCGAAGGCGGCUCACUGGCUCGAUACUGACGCUGAGGUGCGAAAGCGUGGGGAGCAAACAGGAUUAGAAACCCUGGUAGUCCCA